GCGCCCGAGCAGCAGGCCAACUGGUUGCCGCUACCGUCGGUGGGGUCGGCAACCUUGCUGCUGCGCGUGUACGAACCGCGCCCCGCGCU
Molecule: transfer RNA, 89 nt
Filed under: compost metagenome
Description: tRNA-Gly
Source: RNAcentral